GUAGGUAAGGGAAGUCGGCAAACUAGAUCCGUAACUUCGGGAUAAGGAUUGGCUCUGAAGGCUGGGCCGGCACGGUAUGUCGCAGUGGUGUGGUCGUCCGCUCCGGUGGGUGACCCUCCCUGCGAGCCGUCUGGCACGUAACAGCCAGUUCAGAACUGGCACGGCUGAGGGAAUCCGACUGUCUAAU
Molecule: ribosomal RNA, 187 nt
Filed under: Anopheles plumbeus
Lineage: Eukaryota; Metazoa; Arthropoda; Insecta; Diptera; Culicidae
Description: partial large subunit ribosomal RNA
Rfam family: Eukaryotic large subunit ribosomal RNA
Source: RNAcentral